Molecule: ribosomal RNA, 812 nt
Filed under: uncultured bacterium
Lineage: Bacteria
Description: bacterial SSU rRNA
Rfam family: Bacterial small subunit ribosomal RNA
Source: RNAcentral
AGAGUUUGAUCCUGGCUCAGGAUGAACGCUGGCGGCGUGCCUAACACAUGCAAGUCGAGCGAGGGUUUGCUCAGUAUUGAGUAUUCUAAGUCUAGAAUGUUCAAUACUGAGCAAAACCAAGCGGCGGACGGGUGAGUAACGCGUGGGUAACCUGCCCUAUACACAUGGAUAACAUACUGAAAAGUUUACUAAUACAUGAUAAUAUAUAUUUGCGGCAUCGCAGAUAUAUCAAAGUGUUAGCGGUAUAGGAUGGACCCGCGUCUGAUUAGCUAGUUGGUGAGAUAACUGCCCACCAAGGCGACGAUCAGUAGCCGACCUGAGAGGGUGAUCGGCCACAUUGGAACUGAGACACGGUCCAAACUCCUACGGGAGGCAGCAGUGGGGAAUAUUGCACAAUGGGCGAAAGCCUGAUGCAGCAACGCCGCGUGAACGAUGAAGGUCUUCGGAUCGUAAAGUUCUGUUGCAGGGGAAGAUAAUGACGGUACCCUGUGAGGAAGCCCCGGCUAACUACGUGCCAGCAGCCGCGGUAAUACGUAGGGGGCUAGCGUUAUCCGGAUUUACUGGGCGUAAAGGGUGCGUAGGUGGUCCUUCAAGUCGGUGGUUAAAGGCUACGGCUCAACCGUAGUAAGCCGCCGAAACUGGAGGACUUGAGUGCAGGAGAGGAAAGUGGAAUUCCCAGUGUAGCGGUGAAAUGCGUAGAUAUUGGGAGGAACACCAGUAGCGAAGGCGGCUUUCUGGACUGCAACUGACACUGAGGCACGAAAGCGUGGGUAGCAAACAGGAUUAGAUACCCUGGUAGUCCCCGCUGUAAA